This 305-nucleotide ribosomal RNA is filed under the name uncultured bacterium. RNAcentral describes it as "bacterial SSU rRNA". It matches the Rfam family "Bacterial small subunit ribosomal RNA", at positions 335 to 639 of the family's 1533-position model. The record is from RNAcentral.
AGCCUACGGGAGGCAGCAGUGAGGAAUAUUGGUCAAUGGGCGAGAGCCUGAACCAGCCAAGUCGCGUGAAGGAUGAAGGAUCUAUGGUUUGUAAACUUCUUUUAUAUGGGAAUAAAGUGAGGAACGUGUUCCUUUUUGUAUGUACCAUAUGAAUAAGCAUCGGCUAACUCCGUGCCAGCAGCCGCGGUAAUACGGAGGAUGCGAGCGUUAUCCGGAUUUAUUGGGUUUAAAGGGUGCGUAGGCGGACUGGAAAGUCAGCGGUAAAAUCGAGAGGCUCAACCUCUUUCCGCCGUUGAAACUGUCGG